AUUGAACGCUGGCGGCAUGCCUUACACAUGCAAGUCGAACGGCAGCACGGGGCAACCUGGUGGCGAGUGGCGAACGGGUGAGUAAUGCAUCGGAACGUACCUUUCAGUGGGGGAUAACGUGGCGAAAGUUACGCUAAUACCGCAUAUUCUGUGAGCAGGAAAGCAGGGGAUCGCAAGACCUUGCGCUGAUUGAGCGGCCGAUAUCAGAUUAGCUAGUUGGUGAGGUAAAGGCUCACCAAGGCGACGAUCUGUAGCGGGUCUGAGAGGAUGAUCCGCCACACUGGAACUGAGACACGGUCCAGACUCCUACGGGAGGCAGCAGUGGGGAAUUUUGGACAAUGGGGGCAACCCUGAUCCAGCCAUGCCGCGUGAGUGAAGAAGGCCUUCGGGUUGUAAAGCUCUUUCGGCCGGGAAGAAAUCGCUUAGGUUAAUACCCUGAGUGGAUGACGGUACCGGAAUAAGAAGCACCGGCUAACUACGUGCCAGCAGCCGCGGUAA
Molecule: ribosomal RNA, 498 nt
Filed under: uncultured bacterium
Lineage: Bacteria
Description: partial 16S ribosomal RNA
Rfam family: Bacterial small subunit ribosomal RNA
Source: RNAcentral